UCAGGAUGAACGCCGGCGGUGUGCCUAAUACAUGCAAGUCGUACGCACUGGCCCAACUGAUUGAUGGUGCUUGCACCUGAUUGACGAUGGAUUACCAGUGAGUGGCGGACGGGUGAGUAACACGUAGGUAACCUGCCCCGGAGCGGGGGAUAACAUUUGGAAACAGAUGCUAAUACCGCAUAACAACAAAAGCCACAUGGCUUUUGUUUGAAAGAUGGCUUUGGCUAUCACUCUGGGAUGGACCUGCGGUGCAUUAGCUAGUUGGUAAGGUAACGGCUUACCAAGGCGAUGAUGCAUAGCCGAGUUGAGAGACUGAUCGGCCACAAUGGAACUGAGACACGGUCCAUACUCCUACGGGAGGCAGCAGUAGGGAAUCUUCCACAAUGGGCGCAAGCCUGAUGGAGCAACACCGCGUGAGUGAAGAAGGGUUUCGGCUCGUAAAGCUCUGUUGUUGGAGAAGAACGUGCGUGAGAGUAACUGUUCACGCAGUGACGGUAUCCAACCAGAAAGUCACGGCUAACUACGUGCCAGCAGCCGCGGUAAUACGUAGGUGGCAAGCGUUAUCCGGAUUUAUUGGGCGUAAAGCGAGCGCAGGCGGUUGCUUAGGUCUGAUGUGAAAGCCUUCGGCUUAACCGAAGAAGUGCAUCGGAAACCGGGCGACUUGAGUGCAGAAGAGGACAGUGGAACUCCAUGUGUAGCGGUGGAAUGCGUAGAUAUAUGGAAGAACACCAGUGGCGAAGGCGGCUGUCUGGUCUGCAACUGACGCUGAGGCUCGAAAGCAUGGGUAGCGAACAGAAGUAGAUACCCUGGUAGUCCAUGCCGUAAACGAUGCCUUAAAGGGGUUGGAGGGUUUCCGCCUUUCAGUGCCGGAGGUAACGCAUUAAGCACUCCGCCUGGGGAGUACGACCGCAAGGUUGAAACUCAAAGGAAUUGACGGGGGCCCGCACAAGCGGUGGAGCAGGUGGUUUAAUUCGAAGCUACGCGAAGAACCUUACCAGGUCUUGACAUCUUGCGCUAACCUUAGAGAUAAGGCGUUCCCUUCGGGGACGCAAUGACGGGUGGUGCAUGGUCGUCGUCAGCUCGUGUCGUGAGAUGUUGGGUUAAGUCCCGCAACGAGCGCAACCCUUGUUACUAGUUGCCAGCAUUAAGUUGGGCACUCUAGUGAGACUGCCGGUGACAAACCGGAGGAAGGUGGGGACGACGUCAGAUCAUCAUGCCCCUUAUGACCUGGGCUACACACGUGCUACAAUGGACGGUACAACGAGUCGCAAGCUCGCGAGAGUAAGCUAAUCUCUUAAAGCCGUUCUCAGUUCGGACUGUAGGCUGCAACUCGCCUACACGAAGUCGGAAUCGCUAGUAAUCGCGGAUCAGCAUGCCGCGGUGAAUACGUUCCCGGGCCUUGUACACACCGCCCGUCACACCAUGGGAGUUUGUAACGCCCAAAGUCGGUGGCCUAACCUUUAUGGAGGGAGCCGCCUAAGGCGGGACAGA
RNAcentral lists this ribosomal RNA (1491 nucleotides) under uncultured bacterium. Its description in RNAcentral is "bacterial SSU rRNA". It matches the Rfam family "Bacterial small subunit ribosomal RNA". The record is from RNAcentral.